This 24-nucleotide microRNA is filed under the name Schistosoma japonicum. RNAcentral's name for it is "miRNA-2e-3p". Lineage: Eukaryota; Metazoa; Platyhelminthes; Trematoda; Strigeidida; Schistosomatidae. The record is from RNAcentral. RNAcentral also lists the same sequence under 1 other name.
UAUCACAGCCGUGCUUAAGGGCUU